RNAcentral lists this ribosomal RNA (253 nucleotides) under uncultured bacterium. RNAcentral describes it as "partial 16S ribosomal RNA". It matches the Rfam family "Bacterial small subunit ribosomal RNA", at positions 524 to 776 of the family's 1533-position model. The record is from RNAcentral.
UACGUAGGGUGCAAGCGUUGUCCGGAAUUAUUGGGCGUAAAGAGCUCGUAGGCGGUUUGUCGCGUCUGCUGUGAAAACUCAGGGCUUAACCCUGAGCCUGCAGUGGGUACGGGCAGACUAGAGUGUGGUAGGGGAGAUCGGAAUUCCUGGUGUAGCGGUGGAAUGCGCAGAUAUCUGGAGGAACACCGGUGGCGAAGGCGGCAUUCUGGACCGAUAUUGACGCUGAGGAGCGAAAGCCAGGGGAGCAAACGGG